UGUUGGGAUGUCCCUCCCUCAAUCAACUAUACAUGUAAAAUGGUUAAGUUUAGUGUUAGUUAAGGGUUAUAGUUUAGGGUUCAGGGUAGGGACGUCCUAAGGAAUCUGGAUUGCAGUGACCGUUCAUAGAGUGAGAGAAGGGCACGUUAUUUGAGAGCUCGGAGGUGACACAGACAUUCAUUUGUUUUUUUUGUUUUUUUACAAACGACAGAAACGAUUUUCGAGAGUGUCUGCCCCAGAUGAUAGUUUCCUUGGAGUCGUUGAAAAUAAUUAUGAUCUCCCUGAUCCGAUUGAGUAGACCGAGUUUUGAAAUCAGUGGAAAUUGAGUAUGAUGGCUAAGGAGAUGGAGAAAAAAAGCCUGUCUCCGGAUUACAUCUUCAAACUAAGGGCAACCAUGGCAUCCGACAGGAGACGCGUCCAUCCAUGAUGUAUAUAGGACUGCGUCGGCCAAAGCAGCUGAAGCGCUCACCAACGAGGACACCCUUGUAGGCCUGGAGAUGGCUGAGGGGUCAGGCAAAUCAGCCACCUCUGUGAAGACUUCAUGUUUUGUUAUAUUUAUUUUGUUACAUAUAACACAUAUGUAGAUGUGGCCCAUGUCUGAAUAUGGUUGCAAAAAUAAAGCUUGAUUUA
This is a long non-coding RNA of Oncorhynchus keta (chum salmon), 630 nucleotides long. RefSeq lists it as uncharacterized. The record is from RefSeq and is a predicted model, not a curated record. Lineage: Eukaryota; Metazoa; Chordata; Actinopteri; Salmoniformes; Salmonidae. The transcript has 3 exons.